This is a long non-coding RNA of Rosa rugosa (rugosa rose), 432 nucleotides long. RefSeq lists it as uncharacterized. Lineage: Eukaryota; Viridiplantae; Streptophyta; Magnoliopsida; Rosales; Rosaceae. The transcript has 2 exons. The record is from RefSeq and is a predicted model, not a curated record.
UUAUGAACUUGACAAUUCUGAUGCUGUCUUUUCUGCUUGUGGUCUCUUUCGCUGAAAGCCGAUUUCUUGAAAAAGGGAUCUUGAAGCCUGCCACCCUGAAAUGUGAUUCAGUGUACGGUGUGAAAACUGGAGACACCUGUUUUGAAAUCGCUGAGGCUUUCAACUUGUCUGCUGAGUUCUUUGAUUUCAUCAAUCCCAAUCUCAAUUGCAAAACCCUCUUCGUAGGCCAAUGGGUUUGUCUUGAUGGAGAAUUAAGUUUUUAAGCUGCUGAUGCUCAUAGUUCUUGAUACUCGAGUAAUUGGAAAGUUACGAAUAAUGAAUAAAGAGAUCAUAAGAACUAAUAAAGUGAUGGAAGUACUCGACAGCCAUUUUCCACUGUUAUGUAUUUGCCUAUUUGGCGUUGGAAUUUAAUAAUUUGACUGUGUUUCUUUA